This is a long non-coding RNA of Pseudomyrmex gracilis, 781 nucleotides long. RefSeq lists it as uncharacterized. NCBI's taxonomy places the organism in Eukaryota, Metazoa, Arthropoda, Insecta, Hymenoptera, Formicidae. The transcript has 4 exons. The record is from RefSeq and is a predicted model, not a curated record.
UUAUUUUACAGGACGGUUUUCACGUAAAAGAGACAUGUUGCUUGCAAUAUAUUUUAAGACUUGAUACGCACGAUAUUUUAAUAUCUGGUGGUGAAGACUGCACCCUUCGUGUUAGUUGUGUAUCUCAGAGUUUUAAAGAAAAUGUCGAGAACGUCUACACCUUUCAUACUUUAGGAAUUUUUGAUGGUCAUCUUUCGGGCAUAAAAUGUAUAAGUAUUGUUAAAUUAAGCAACAAGCUCGGCAAAUUAAAUAACAGAUAUUUAGUCUUUUCUGCUGGAGGAAGAGCACAGCUAAAAGUCUGGGAGAUAAAUUUAUCCUUCUGAGGAUCUAAAUUGUGUGUUAAAAAAUAAAUAUCUUCUAGCUACUCGUGGAAACGAUAAUCUUCUCAGUCUUGUCUGUUUCCAAAUUAAUACAAAAAAACGAUAUCAGUUGUACUAUUAUCCAAGUGGAGUACAGCAAUUGUACAUUCUGCUCAGAUCACAGGUCUAAAAUUUAAAAGUGACAAUCAGUUAUGUAGCGUAGCAAUAGAUCAGCAAGUUGUUGUCUACAAUUAUUUAUGGUCCAAUGACAUCAUAUCUGAAAAUAUUUCAAAUCAAAUAUUUACAUCUGUCACAGAUGUACAAAGCAUGGAUCUACGGCAUUCUGAUGAGCGAAAUGGAAAACAUUGAAACAACAUUAAUGUACUGUCUUGCUAGUAGCAGUAUAAAGUUAGAAAAAAUUAAUCGUGAUGCCGACUGGAAUUAAGUCGGUAAAGCAAUCGUUUAACAAUAAAGAAUGGUUA